GAUGAACGCUGGCGGCGUGCUUAACACAUGCAAGUCGAACGGAAAGGCGCUGCUUUUGCGGGGUGCUCGAUUGGCGAAGGGGGGAGUAACACGCGAGUAAACUGUCCCUAACUGAGGGAUAACAUCAGGGGAAAGGGGCGAAUACCGCAUAGGAGCUCCUGAAGCAUGGUGGGGGAUGGAAAGAUUCGGCGGUUGGGGAUGGUCUCGCGGGUUCUCCGCUGGUUGGUGGGGUAGGGGAUGUCAAAGUGUUUGAAGGGUAGCCGGCCUGGGAGGGUGACCGGCCACAUUGGGCCUGCGGUACGGCCCAGACUCCUACGGGACGCAGCAGUGGGGAAUCUUGCACAAUGGGCGGACGCCUGUUGCAGCAACGUCGCGUUCGGAAUGACGGCCUUCGGGUUGUAAACCACUUUCGCCUGUGACGAAGCGUUAUUGACGGUAAUGGGUAAAGAAGCACCGGCUAACUACGUG
RNAcentral lists this ribosomal RNA (468 nucleotides) under uncultured bacterium. Its description in RNAcentral is "partial 16S ribosomal RNA". It matches the Rfam family "Bacterial small subunit ribosomal RNA", at positions 28 to 507 of the family's 1533-position model. The record is from RNAcentral.